GAUGGCAAGAAUAUUUGAAAUAGCGGGGGUGGGAGUAGCAAGAUAACUAUACUAUGCAUGAUGCCCUCUAGAUGUUUUGCAUGUGUCUAUAUGUAGUCAUCCUGUCUCCAUCUUAGCAAUGCUAUGAUAUGACAAACAGGGGUUGUGUUAUGGAAUUCAGUUAGCAAUGCUUUGAUAAAUAUUUGAGAUAAAAAGAUUACCGAGCCUCACUUUGCUAAAUAUUUGAGAUCUUAUAAACAUAUUUGCAUAACUGUUGUUUUGUUGUUUCCAUGAAAUUCUGCACGUAGCGUCUUGAAGAGACCAAUCUAUAUUUAGCUGAGCUAUGCGAAGUUGCAACCCUCACUAUCUCCACGAGAGCGUUUAUAGUUUUUAUUGCCAUGUGGAAACUUUGUGUAUGAAGUUAUGGCACCGCAAAUACUCCCCAUGUGUGCGCGCGCGCAUGCGGUGCCUAGGGUAGGUAGUAGAGUACUUCAUAUACCUGUACUAUUCAUGCUUCAACUUUGGGGUAGUUUUCAUGUGCAUACAACAUAUUGGACCUUGCAGGACCCUCUUGGCAUCCUGUUGCUGGAAAAAAACUACACAGCGGAAUCGUUUUUUUAUUUCUGAAACAAGAUUUCUAUUGCACAAGCCUUCUGAAACAGGAUAGUGUUUUCCAUUUCUUAAAGCUCAAAUCUUGUUGCGCAAAAUUGUAGAUCAAAAUUAGUGUCUACAUGUCCUGGAUACCUAGCUAGCUAUGUUCCAGUUUGACAAUCAACUUUGUAGAUUCUCAGUUUGACAAAGUUUUUAUAAGAUGUUUAAUUUUUGGAUGGAACAAAAAAGGAAGCAUAGUUGAAAUGCAAUGCAAUCAGACUUGUAAAGGUCCUGCAUUGCACAAAAUCCUAAGGAUGAGGCCAGAAGAAGGUUCAAUGAAGUGAAAAAAUUACUCCGUACUUGGUCUGCAUGCAGUGAUCGACUACUGGUCUGCUUGUCAGGUUAGGCCAAAACAAAACGUUGUUGGUAAUUUUACGGUUUGUAACUGAUGCCCUUGCCACAAGAAAUUUAUUGAUGUCGCAAUUUUGUAGUCUAACCCUUCAGUCCUCAUAAGAAAUAAAAUAGACAUCUGAUUUGAACACUUACUUCUACAUAUAUGUGUGCAAAACAGCUAAAUUAUGUAGAGUAGGCCUCAAAAGAACACUUACUUUUGCUGUUAAUUUGCAAGACAUUCUUAAUUUUGCCUCAAAAGAAUGACAAUUUUGUUACUCUCAGCAUUUAUUGUUGGUUACAGAUAGAGAGUUGGUAGUUGCUUAAAGAAAGACUAAAACCACAAGGUCACAUUUGAAGUUAUAGGUCGAUUUAGCGAGUCAUAAUAGACAAAAUAAUUUACUUAUCAUACUAAACUAUUGUGAUCUCGGUCCACAUUUUUGGGAACCACUAUACUACCUAUUAGUUAAUUAGCAGCACCCUAAUACCUAGAUGUAACUUUGUAGAUGCUUUUCUACUGUUAAUUGCAUCUUGCAUGAAUUUUUUAUUCUUCUUGCAGUUGUUCUGUUUCCCACAGAAGCUGCAUCUUUCUAGAAGCUGCUACAUCAGAUUAAGUAAGUACACCCUGUUUGCCACAGAAACAAUUAACAGGCAUUACCUUCAUCGUUAGCGCUGAUACU
Molecule: long non-coding RNA, 1640 nt
Filed under: Triticum aestivum (bread wheat)
Lineage: Eukaryota; Viridiplantae; Streptophyta; Magnoliopsida; Poales; Poaceae
Description: long non-coding RNA (TAES_LNC000810)
Source: RNAcentral